AGACCUUUGGUUGAUUUUGCAAAGCUGGCAAACGCUAGUAUAGCUUAUCCACAGGAAAACUCUUGCUGGCAAACUUUGCUUUGUUAAAUGAAUAUCCCUUUGAUUUGUUGUUAUUUGUUUUAAACAUGACUUUCUAGUCCUACUCUCUAAAGCAGUCAUAAGCCCUUUCAUUGGAUCUGAGACAGACAGGAUUUGCUGCUCACAGGACUGGGAUAAAAUUCUAAGUGGAAGAUAUUAGAAAGCAAGGACAGUGUGCCACAGCCUUCUUCCUCUCUUGCAAGCUCGGAAUGGAAAAAUUUAAUGAGACUUGUCCCUGACAUUAUUUGAAAGAAUCAAUGAGCAGCUCAGAAUAAGAAAACAAAGCAGGAAGAAUCAGGAAGCCAAAACAUCCUUAAGCUACUGGCUAUCUUGGGAGGGAUUACUCAUCUAUGAAAUUUCAGCGGUGAAAGGGAAGCCAACAUGAGCUUGAAUGAAUGGACAAGGAUGUUGUACAGCCUCAUCCCUUCUUCAUCAAAGAUCCAAAACCUCAAAGAGAUUCCCAGAGAAGACAUGUGACAAGAACAUGC
Pipra filicauda (Wire-tailed manakin) is the source of this 566-nucleotide long non-coding RNA. RefSeq lists it as uncharacterized. The transcript is spliced from 3 exons. The record is from RefSeq and is a predicted model, not a curated record. Lineage: Eukaryota; Metazoa; Chordata; Aves; Passeriformes; Pipridae.